CGUUGGGCGGAGAGGAUGGGGUUAAAGUGAGCUGUUCAGUGGCGCGUAUCGCGCUGGUUCGUCCGCUCAGCUAUUUGGCUGGGUUGGUAGUGGUGCCUAACAGGCAAAGAAAACUCAGUAUUCGCGAGAAAUGUUGGUUUUGUGUGCGUCUCUGGGCUGAUUGGUGCAUGCAAGAUAAACACCUUAGAUCCCUGGAGAUAUUGGUUGGAUUACACACCAAACUGUGAUGCUUCUAGAGUGCAUUGGUCACUGGCAUAACAGGUUCUGCUAUCCAUCCUCUGCCAAUAACUGCUUUAAAGUUAAAAAAAGGUACCUUGUAGCCAUGAAUGUUCAUUUUCUGGCUGUUGUAACUUCAAGAAUACCACCAGUAAACACAUACUGGAAGAUAAGUAUAUUUUUCAAAUAAGCCACAAGAAGGCAACAGUCACUUUUCUAGCCUGAGUGAGAGAAUGAGGAAAAAAAGAACAUUUGCACAUAAGGAGCUGGAAUCCAUAAUGUUGAAAAGGGAACUCUGUCAGAGAGAACUCAACACAUACAGCUUCUGAAUGGAGAGUAUUUACCAGCCUUGGAGGCAAACCUGUUCAGAACUGGACAUGAUCAACUUGGUGACUUCAUCUGUUACCAUGUGUGUUGAAUAUUAGUAUUCCUGUGCUGCAUUCACCGCAAGCUAUAGGCCUUGUAUUUAUAAGAUCACAAAUGUUUCUCUUUUGAAUACUGCUUUUUAAAAAAGGACAGCCAAGCUGAAGAUAAUUUCUUGCAGAAAUGUGAUGAAAACACCUGUGAUGAAAACACAGAAAAAUAACCCACAGUGCAUAGAGAAAAUAAUUGUGUGUUACUUGGUAAAUAUUCAAAUUAACAAAGCUCCAAGAAUAUGAAAGCAUAAGGGACAAGGGAGCUGUGGAUCUUCUUCUGCAGAAUAAUCAUGCAAAAGUCGAAAAGCAGCAUCUAGGAGAUGUGUUUUAUCAUCAAGGAACGUGCAACACAUUUAUAGAGUGUGAUUCAGAAAUGCAAAUGAAAAAGUAGAGUUUGUCUUUUCAGUAGAAGCUUUGUUAAAAAUUUGAAUAGAUGGACCAAUUUGGCUAGCCAGUGUUAUCCUUAUUAAAUUCAUAGAAAACUUUUCCUGAAAACUCCAUGUUAUGUGGCUCAGUAACUCUUAAGCAUGUAGAAAAAUCAUUGAUUCCAUUUUCUAAUCCAGUGCCAAAAUCUAGUUUGUCUGUGACAGACUGGAGAAAGAUCAGUGUAACUUGGUAAGCAUUGGCAUCUGUUUCUUUAUUUUCAUGUGUGAUAUUGUGAUGUAAAGCACUGGGUGUCAGCUCAUCAUUUUGCUUGUAUGUAUAUUUGAAAAAGUAAAAUGUUACCACUGAUGUGGUUUUUACCACCUGCAUUAUAAGGGUAGAGGAAAAAAUACCCAUCAUUUUGAAAUAAAUCCUUAGAUUUGGUUAAAUGGAUGAGCGUACCAGUACCCAUAUUUUAAAAUAACUUGGAAAAUAGUUAUCUCUAAGAUGGCAGUUGGGGAAAGUGAAUGCAGUGUACAAGGUGUAUAUAGCACAGUAGUUGCCUGUUAGCAGGAGUAUUAAUUUACUACAAGGAAGUCAGGACUAAAAUGUCAUAUGUAAGGAAAUGAUUUUAUAGUAUUUGCAUUUUGCAAAAAGUUGUUUGAUGUAGUAAGUAUUGUAUCUGUUAUGAAGCACUCAUUCCACAAGCAUUACCAGAAGUCUUAAUAAUUUAAUAAUCAGAAGAAUGGUAUUAUUAACUGUCCUAUUUUAGGUAUACCACUCCCUACAAGUGAAGAAACAAAGGGCUACUAAAGAGGCUAUGUGAUCUUGGUUGGCAUAGGAAGGGAUGGAGGGACAGGAUUAUGAAAAAUAAAGUAAAUCUGUGCUUCCUCUAGUUUCAUGGCAAUGCAUGUUUAGAUUAAGAAAUCUGCAAAUCUUUAAAAUAGAAUCUGGAACUUUGAUAAAAUAGUGCUAUUAAAGUACAUUAAUAUGACCAUA
Long non-coding RNA from Eublepharis macularius, 1994 nucleotides. RefSeq lists it as uncharacterized. The record is from RefSeq and is a predicted model, not a curated record. NCBI's taxonomy places the organism in Eukaryota, Metazoa, Chordata, Lepidosauria, Squamata, Eublepharidae. The transcript has 4 exons.